This 482-nucleotide ribosomal RNA is filed under the name uncultured bacterium. RNAcentral describes it as "partial 16S ribosomal RNA". It matches the Rfam family "Bacterial small subunit ribosomal RNA", at positions 30 to 507 of the family's 1533-position model. The record is from RNAcentral.
AUUGAACGCUGGCGGCAUGCUUUACACAUGCAAGUCGAACGGUAACAGGCCGCAAGGUGCUGACGAGUGGCGCACGGGUGAGUAAUGCAUCGGAACGUGCCCAGUCGUGGGGGAUAACUACUCGAAAGAGUAGCUAAUACCGCAUACGAUCUAUGGAUGAAAGCGGGGGACCGUAAGGCCUCGCGCGAUUGGAGCGGCCGAUGUCAGAUUAGGUAGUUGGUGUGGUAAGGGCUCACCAAGCCAACGAUCUGUAGCUGGUCUGAGAGGACGACCAGCCACACUGGGACUGAGACACGGCCCAGACUCCUACGGGAGGCAGCAGUGGGGAAUUUUGGACAAUGGGCGCAAGCCUGAUCCAGCAAUGCCGCGUGCAGGAAGAAGGCCUUCGGGUUGUAAACUGCUUUUGUACGGAACGAAACGGCUCUGGUUAAUACCCGGGGCUAAUGACGGUACCGUAAGAAUAAGCACCGGCUAACUACGUG